GUAACGCGUGGGUAACCUGCCUCGUACUGGGGGACCACUGUUGGAAACGACUGCUAAUACCGCAUAAGCGCACAGCUUCGCAUGAAGCAGUGUGAAAAACUCCGGUGGUACAAGAUGGACCCGCGUCUGAUUAGCUGGUUGGUGAGGUAACGGCCCACCAAGGCGACGAUCAGUAGCCGGCCUGAGAGGGUGAACGGCCACAUUGGGACUGAGACACGGCCCAAACUCCUACGGGAGGCAGCAGUGGGGAAUAUUGCACAAUGGGGGAAACCCUGAUGCAGCAACGCCGCGUGAGUGAAGAAGUAUUUCGGUAUGUAAAGCUCUAUCAGCAGGAAAGAAAAUGACGGUACCUGACUAAGAAGCCCCGGCUAACUACGUGCCAGCAGCCGCGGUAAUACGUAGGGGGCAAGCGUUAUCCGGAUUUACUGGGUGUAAAGGGAGCGUAGACGGUUUUGCAAGUCUGAAGUGAAAGCCCGGGGCUUAACCCCGGGACUGCUUUGGAAACUGUAGAACUAGAGUGCAGGAGAGGUAAGUGGAAUUCCUAGUGUAGCGGUGAAAUGCGUAGAUAUUAGGAGGAACACCAGUGGCGAAGGCGGCUUACUGGACUGUAACUGACGUUGAGGCUCGAAAGCGUGGGGAGCAAACAGGAUUAGAUACCCUGGUAGUCCACGCUGUAAACGA
Molecule: ribosomal RNA, 681 nt
Filed under: uncultured bacterium
Lineage: Bacteria
Description: bacterial SSU rRNA
Rfam family: Bacterial small subunit ribosomal RNA
Source: RNAcentral